UACGAAGGGGGCUAGCGUUGUUCGGAAUUACUGGGCGUAGAGCGCACGUAGGCGGAUAUUUAAGUCAGGGGUGAAAUCCCGGGGCUCAACCCCGGAACUGCCUUUGAUACUGGGUAUCUCGAGUCCGAGAGAGGUGAGUGGAAUUCCGAGUGUAGAGUUGAAAUUCGUAGAUAUUCGGGGGAACACCAGUGGCGAAGGCGGCUCACUGGCUCGGUACUGACGCUGAGGUGCGAAAGCGUGGGGAGCAAACAGG
Molecule: ribosomal RNA, 253 nt
Filed under: uncultured bacterium
Lineage: Bacteria
Description: partial 16S ribosomal RNA
Rfam family: Bacterial small subunit ribosomal RNA
Source: RNAcentral